CGGUAAUACGUAGGGUGCGAGCGUUAAUCGGAAUUAGAUAGUAUGAAGCGUGCGCAGGCGGACCACCAAGCAAGAUGUGAAAUCCCCGGGCUUAACCUGGGAAUGGCACACAGAACUGGCGAUGAGUAGUGUGUCAGAGGGGGGUGGAAUUCCACGUGUAGCAGUGAAAUGCGUAGAUAUGUGGAGGAACACCAAUGGCGAAGGCAGCCCCCUGGGAUAACACUGACGCUCAUGUACGAAAGCGUGGGUAGCAAACAGGAUUAGAUACCCUGGUAGUCCACGCCCUAAACGAUGUCAACUGGUUGUUGGGGGAGUGAAAUCCCUUAGUAACGAAGCUAACGCGUGAAGUUGACCGCCUGGGGAGUACGGUCGCAAGAUUAAA
This 382-nucleotide ribosomal RNA is filed under the name uncultured bacterium. RNAcentral describes it as "bacterial SSU rRNA". It matches the Rfam family "Bacterial small subunit ribosomal RNA", at positions 518 to 898 of the family's 1533-position model. The record is from RNAcentral.